CGGGGGGAGCAAGCGUUGUUCGGAUUUACUGGGCGUAAAGGGCGCGUAGGCGGCCACCGCAAGUCGGUAGUGAAAGCUCUGGGCUUAACCCAGAAAGGUCAAUCGAUACUGCGGGGCUAGAGUGCAGAAGGGGCAACUGGAAUUCUCGGUGUAGCGGUGAAAUGCGUAGAUAUCGAGAGGAACACCUGCGGCGAAGGCGGGUUGCUGGGCUGACACUGACGCUGAAGCGCGAAAGCUAGGGGAGCGAACGGGAUUAGAUACCCCGGUAGUCCUAGCCUUAAACGAUGAAUGCUUGGUGUCUGGGGUUUUAUAGUCCCCGGGUGCCGUCGCUAACGCUUUAAGCAUUCCGCCUGGGGAGUACGGUCGCAAGACUG
This 374-nucleotide ribosomal RNA is filed under the name uncultured organism. RNAcentral describes it as "bacterial SSU rRNA". It matches the Rfam family "Bacterial small subunit ribosomal RNA", at positions 526 to 896 of the family's 1533-position model. The record is from RNAcentral.